This is a long non-coding RNA of Orussus abietinus, 1543 nucleotides long. RefSeq lists it as uncharacterized. The record is from RefSeq and is a predicted model, not a curated record. The transcript has 3 exons. NCBI's taxonomy places the organism in Eukaryota, Metazoa, Arthropoda, Insecta, Hymenoptera, Orussidae.
CCGCGCCAGGAAGGGACGCCCUUGGUUCCGAGCUCGCAGUAGGCAACCAACCGAGGCCGACGCUCUACGACGUACCCGAGACUCGAUCGAUCACAAGGUGCCGAGGGAAGGAAAACUCGACGAGGGAAGAGGACACGGCGAUGUUCCCGGGUCGACCGAUCGGCGACAGCAACUUUUUUUAAUGGGAAAAGGGAGAACUUCCAGGUUCCUGGAUUGAUCUUGGAAACGAUCUCGUUUUCCCCUGGAGUAUAUCUAGGAAUGGAAAUUCAAACAAGAGGAAACUCCGCGACGCCGCUCUCGAGCUGGGUCGAUCAGGAGUGCGACUGGAUCCUCUUUUAAUCGGAAAAAGAGAGGAGUCCUUAAUUUAAGGAUUAAUCCGAGAAAUAAUCUCACCCCCGGAGUGCCGGUGAAGAAAAUUCAAACGAGAAGGAAAUCGAGAGGCCGUCGUGCCCGACGUCGCGACGCGGCUCUUGGGCGCGAUCGAUCACGAGUGCGGCUGGUUCUCUCUUUAUCAGGGGAAAAAAGGCAAUUCCUGGAUUAACAAUUAAUCCGAGAAAUGAUCUCGCUUACUUGCAGGGUGCCGGAGCGCCACGCGAGGAAACCAGCGCGGCCGACGUAAGUCGACUUCAGGGUUUCGUUCACGUAUAUCGCUCGAUCGAUCGCGAGAACCAGCCGAUCCCUUCGUCGAGGGAAAAGGAGCCCCGGCGGAGUGGUGAAAAAAUCCGCAGGCGAGAGAAGUAUUAGGGCCGACCCGGGAGCGACGUCUAACUAGGAGACGCCGGGAGACGCCGAUACACGAGCAUCGAUGCACCAGCUACGUAUCCGUCGUACUACAUCAGCUACGUAUCCAUCCGCGUGAAUUCGAGAGAGCGGACGGCAGCUCUCCGGCUGGAGACGACGUAAGGAGGCGAGCCACGUAUCACCGAUAUUUCUGAAACGUAAAACGGCGAAUGCCGCUUACGCCCCCGGAAUGGAAUAACGCGAGAUCUACGGAGGAGGCGAGGCGGAGAACGACGAGGAGGAAGAGGAAGAGGAAGAGGAAGGAGGGAGGAGAAAGAGGAGGAGGACGUCGAGCCUCGGCACGACUUUCAUCGAGUCCCGUGGCAAUGAGAAACGAGCGGCCUCGGAUGAGACCCCUUAUAAUCCGUUCCCCCGAAAUGCAACGACGGUAUUAUCCCGUGCACCUGCAGAGGACGCGCAUGGCUUCUUAUUUAGAAUAUCGGGUGGAUACUAAUCGCUCAACGCGUUAACAAUGACGGGUCGUUCCAAGCUGGAUGCAACGACGUCUCACCCCGAAACGCCGUCCCGAGAUUCGUAUAUUAAUCUCGCUACCGAAUUUUUUGAUAAUCGGUGAAAUGAAGGCACAUCUCGGCCUGUACUUGGCUUGAAACUCUACCUAGUUUCUGCGGGUCUACUGCGUAAAGCCAAUUGAGAGAAAAUGUGGAAAAUGAGUAUCUCACAAUAUUACGGAACGUUUUUGAUGGUGAAUAUGCGAGACCAUUCAUAUGAACUUUCUCGGCACAAAUUUUUAACCGAAAUGGUG